RNAcentral lists this ribosomal RNA (355 nucleotides) under Parougia sp. Seep Clade CA. RNAcentral's name for it is "partial 16S ribosomal RNA". It matches the Rfam family "Bacterial large subunit ribosomal RNA", at positions 1945 to 2553 of the family's 2925-position model. The record is from RNAcentral. Lineage: Eukaryota; Metazoa; Annelida; Polychaeta; Eunicida; Dorvilleidae.
CACGUGCAAAGGUAGCAUAAUCAAUUGUCCUUUAAUUGGGGACUAGAAUGAAUGGAUAAAUAAAAAUUAACUAUUCAAUUUUUAUAAAUAAAAAUUUACCUUUAGAUGAAAAGGUCUAAAUCUUAAUAAAAGACCAGAAGACCCUAUAGAGCUUUAUCUUAAAUUAUUUUUUAAAAUUUUAAUAAGAUUUGGUUGGGGCAACCUAGGAGAUACUUCCUAUAAAUUAAAAGAACUAUAUUUUAUUUCUAAAAUAUAAAAAAUUAAGCUACCUUAGGGAUAACAGGCUAAUCUUAUUUUAUAGUCCACAUACACAAUAAGGUUUAGCACCUCGAUGUUGGCUUGGAAUUCCUAUUAA